This 117-nucleotide ribosomal RNA is filed under the name Danio rerio (zebrafish). The record is from RNAcentral. Lineage: Eukaryota; Metazoa; Chordata; Actinopteri; Cypriniformes; Danionidae.
AGCCACAGACAUAUCACCCUGCAGCCCACAACCGGUUACUCUCUGAAGCUAAGCAUGGCUGAGCCUGGUCAGUACCUGGAUGGGAGACCACUAGGGAACACUAGGUUGCUGUUGGAA